RNAcentral lists this ribosomal RNA (547 nucleotides) under uncultured bacterium. RNAcentral describes it as "bacterial SSU rRNA". It matches the Rfam family "Bacterial small subunit ribosomal RNA", at positions 355 to 896 of the family's 1533-position model. The record is from RNAcentral.
UGGGGAAUAUUGCGCAAUGGGGGGAACCCUGACGCAGCCAUGCCGCGUGAAUGAAGAAGGCCUUAGGGUUGUAAAGUUCUUUCGGUAUUGAGGAAGGUUGAUGUGUUAAUAGCACAUCAAAUUGACGUUAAAUACAGAAGAAGCACCGGCUAACUCCGUGCCAGCAGCCGCGGUAAUACGGAGGGUGCGAGCGUUAAUCGGAAUAACUGGGCGUAAAGGGCACGCAGGCGGUUAUUUAAGUGAGGUGUGAAAGCCCUGGGCUUAACCUAGGAAUUGCAUUUCAGACUGGGUAACUAGAGUACUUUAGGGAGGGGUAGAAUUCCACGUGUAGCGGUGAAAUGCGUAGAGAUGUGGAGGAAUACCGAAGGCGAAGGCAGCCCCUUGGGAAUGUACUGACGCUCAUGUGCGAAAGCGUGGGGAGCAAACAGGAUUAGAUACCCUGGUAGUCCACGCUGUAAACGCUGUCGAUUUGGGGGUUGGGGUUUAACUCUGGCGCCCGUAGCUAACGUGAUAAAUCGACCGCCUGGGGAGUACGGCCGCAAGGUUA